This 1300-nucleotide long non-coding RNA is filed under the name Macaca fascicularis (crab-eating macaque). RNAcentral describes it as "lncRNA (ENSMFAG00000053735.1)". The record is from RNAcentral. Lineage: Eukaryota; Metazoa; Chordata; Mammalia; Primates; Cercopithecidae.
GAGGAUUAAAUAAGCUAACAAAUAGAUUAAGCAGAACAGAAUUCCCUACCCAAGAAGAAGAGAAUAAGCUUUUCUGUACGUUACCAUGCUAGAUUCAUACAACAUUAAGUGUAAGCUUAUUUUUCACAGGUAAGAAAUAAUGAUUAAUAGGACAAAUGAUGUUAUAAGAGAAAUGUUGCCUGACUGACUAUAGAAGGUCAAGAAGAAAAUGAGGUAUUGAAUAAAGCUCAUGAGGAAAUCAUCUUAGUUAAAAUACUAAAACCUCUUGCCUAAAAUCCUUAGCACUCUUCAGAUGCAAAGAAUUAAAAACAUAAAGAUGUGAAAAUACUCAUAGGGGCAUUGUAUCUUAUUGUAAAAGACGAUCUGGGGCGAAAACUGAAGUAAUUGGAAAUAAAACCUUCUCUAUCCUUGCUGUCCUUUCCUCUCCCCCAAUUACCAAGGUGAAAAAGCAACUUCAAGUUUCACAGCAGGGUCUUUGGGUUUCCCUCCUCAGGGGAAAAAAUGUAAACAAUAUUUCCAUAACUCGGGCAAAGAAAGAUGGAUCAAAAGAGAGCCCAGCUUGGCUAAAAUGUCUGGAGGCAUGUAGGUAUGUUGGAAAAUGGUUGCUAGAAAAGGGACCUAGAAAGUGUUGGCGUUUGAAAUGAUGAGAAGCAGCACUGCUGUCAAAUUUAUUCAACAUUUUAAUACUGUUUUAAAAUGUUUAUUAAGCACCCACCGCGUGAAGCACACAGCACACUAGUCAGCGUUAAGUCAGUCUUCUAGGCUCAGUGGGGGAAAUCCAGACAAAAUGGAAGAUGAGGUGUUUGUCUUCCAGGUGCUGACAAUCAAGCAGUACAGAAAGAACGGGCAGAAAUGGUAAUAUUUGCAAAGUAGUCUAAUGUCCAGAUGAAUAUAGAGCAAAAUGGACUCAUGAGAAUGCAGGCUGAGGGAAUGUAGAAUAAAUGAACACAAGACGAGUUACUCAGACUCAAUUUUAAAGGAGAAAAAAAAAAAAAAGGAAAUUCUGACUUGUUCAAAGGUGUUUUGAAAUAUUAAGAAAAUAAUACAAUAGGCCGGGCGCGGUGGCUCAAGCCUGUAAUCCCAGCACUUUGGGAGGCCGAGACGGGCGGAUCACGAGGUCAGGAGAUCGAGACCAUCCUGGCUAACACGGUGAAACCCCGUCUCUACUAAAAAAAUACAAAAAACUAGCCGGGUGAGGUGGCGCCUGUAGUCCCAGCUACUCGGGAGGCUGAGGCAGGAGAAUGGCGGGAAUCCAGGAGGCGGAGCUUGCAGUGAGCUGAGAUCCGGCCACUGCACUCCA